UAGUAUAAAAUAUUGUUGGCAUUCCAAAACCUACUAUACCAGCCGUGUGAAGUAUAAGGAAGUGUGAAGUAUAAGGAAUUGUUUCAAAGGAAGUGUGGUGUGGUUGCUUUGCUCUUUCGUACGUGUUGAAGAAUUUGUGGCUUUUUUUAGCAUGCAAGAUUGUUUAAUUGUAUUGUGGAGAAAAUGCUGUCAAAAGAAUAUUGCAGCUUGCUGCAAUGAUCAAAAGGUGAAGAUCGAAUAUUACUGUACACCUCUUCUCCUUCACAUGAUCAUUCCUUCUGUUGAAAACCAAAAAGAAAAGGAAGUUGCAUCUGGGUUUUCAGUUUUUCUAUUUCUCUCCUUCGUGGAGAACAUGCUAUGAAAGAGAAAAGGAAGAACAUGAGAACAUGCUAUGAAAGAGAAAAGGAAGAACAUGACAACGUGGUUUUCCAUUUCUUCUUAUGGAAACAUUGCUGUCAAAGAAGAAAGUAGGAAGCAACUACAUCUGGUUGCCAGCCAUCUCGUCUUGCCCACUCAAUGCAAUAUCCCCUUGAGAUGGAUCCGGUGCCUUGGUGAUUUGUUAGUAUUAACAUAUUGGCAAGGAGAGGAAAUAUCCAAUUGAGAUGGAUCCGGGUGAGGAAGAAAAUCUUGGAGAGGUAAUUAAUAUCCCCUUGAGAUGGAUCCGAGUGAGGAAGAAAAUCUUGGAGAGGUAAUUAAUAUCCCCUUGAGAUGGAUCCGAGUGAAGAAGAAAUGUGAAAGCAACCAUAUCUUUUCCUUGCUAUCCACUCAGUGUAAUCAUGAAGACCUUGCUGUCUAAAAUGAUAGUGGGAAGCAAGCAACUGGUGAUCAUUCAUACAUGAACUUAAAGACCAAGUAUGAUAGUUUGUUUAAUUGCAAGUAUGAUAGUUUGUUUAAUUGCUGUCGAAGACAGGUGGCCUUGUUCAUCUUCAUGUAAACCUUGCUGUCAAAGAUCAAAGUGGGAGACAAUUGCAGCAGGGUUUACCAUUUUAGUUGGUUAUCUUGCCGAAACACAAGGCCCUACUCCAACCAAGCUUCUAGCAACUUUGACAGAAUGGAAUUCCUUCUUCCUCCUAUAUAUACAUGGGUAUUCUGUUUGUUCUAUGUAUUGAAAUCGUAUUGAGUUUCAAUCCCUUGAUUGUAAAAGAGUCAGACUCUUUGUUGCUCUGUUUUGUGCCAUGUUGAAAACAGUUUGUGAGUCUGUCCAGUAAGGAUUGCAGCAGUCAUUGCAAUCCCACAGUUAAAUGUGUAGUCUGUCCAGUAAGGAUUGCAGCAGUCAGUGCAAUCCCAGAUUGUAAGUUAGUCAGUUCAGGAGGGAUUGCCGCGGUCAGUGCAAUACCUGAGUUGUAACUUUGUAAUCUGUUUUGAUUAGUGAAUCAUUGGGUUCUCAAGAGUUAGAGCCCCGCAGUGUUUUUGAUCUCAAUUGAGGUUUUCACUGCGUGACCAAGUUGUGUUGUGUUGUGGAAUUUUCUGUUCUCUGCCCAGUAUCCAAAACACGUUCAUCCUUGUAUUUACAAUUGGCAUCAGAGCGGGUUCUAAAGAGUUUUAGUUGAUCCGUGAUCAAGGAUGGAACAUCAACGUGACAGAGCCUCCAGCUCCAUUAACUGUCCACCAUUAUUUGAUGGAGAAGAUUACUCACAAUGGAAGAUUAUGAUGAGGGCAUUUCUCUACUCUCAAGAUGAAAAUAUGUGGAAUAUAGUAGAAAUUGGUUGGGAACAUCCAACCAUGGCAGAAGACUCCAAGAAAGAAGAAGUGAGUUCUGCAAGAAUUCCUAAGCCUAGAAAGGAAUGGACAAAGGAGGAGGUUCGUGACAGAAAUUGUGAUUUCAAGGCACGAAAUUCAUUAUUCAUAGCUCUAUCCAAGAAGGAGAGAAUGAGAAUCAGCCACUGUGACACUGCCAAACAAGCAUGGGAUCUUCUCCAAGUCACCUAUGAAGGUAAUAAAAAGGUUAGAGGGCAGAAACUUCAACGACUAGUUUUGGAAUUUGAGAAUAUGUCAAUGACUGAAGAUGAAUCAAUCGACGACUUUCAUGCUCGGCUUCUCAAUGUAACAAGUCAAUGUCGGAGCUUGGAUGAUCCAUUUGAGGAGCACCGAAUUGUCAAGAAGUUUCUUAGAUCUCUUCCUUCAAAAUUCCAGGCCAAACAGAUUGCCAUUGAGGAGGCUCAGGAUCUAGAUACCUACACUCUUGACGAACUGGUGGGAAAUCUCAAAACUUUUGAGAUGAGACUCAAACCGGAUAAAAAGGUAAAAGAUGUUGCUUUUUCUUCCAUUAAUGAUAAAGAUGAUAUUGUUGAUGAUUCUAUGGAUUUAACUUUGUUGACAAAAGAGUUUAAAAAAUUUCUGAAUGAUAAAAACUCAUUUGGAAACACCUCAAGAAACUUUUCUGACACAAAGAGAGGUCAAGAAUUUGAGAAUCGUUUUGAUAAAAAUUCAAAGUUUGCCAAAUUUGCUCAAAAGAAAAGUUUUCCUGACAAACCUAAAUGCUAUGAAUGUGGUGGAAUUGGACAUAUUGCUGCUAACUGUGGUAACAGGAGAUAUAAUUCACGUGGCGACAAAGCUUUAAAAUCCACAUGGAGUGAUAGUGAUGAAGGAUCUCAAUCGGAUUCUGAAGAGGUAAAUCUUGCUCUUACUUCUUCCCUUAAUAUUGAUUUAUCCGAUGAGUCUGAUAUUGAAGUUGAAGCUUUUGAUGAGGAGACGAAUGAAAAGUGUAAGCAAUUGUACAAUGCUUCAAAAAUUGUUCUUAAGAAAAAUUUCAAACUUAAGGAAGAAAUUGAGUCAUUAAGAAAAGAAAAAAAUGAAUCUGAGCUAAAUUUUGAUUCUUGCUUGAAAGAAUGGGAAGAAGAGCGUACUGACCUUGUUGAUAAGAUUAAAGUUUUGCAGGGUGAGGUCAAGUCUCAAGAUUGGGACAAGGAACAUGAUGAUCUUAUUAACAAGAUCAAAAUCUUGCAGGUUGAAGUUAAGGCUCAGUCUACUCUAAAUAUUUCACUAACAUUUGAAAAUGAAAAAUUGCAGGAUGAGCUAUCUAAAGUCAAGGAAAGCUUCAACAAAUUCUCUAUAGGGUCGGAAAAGGUCUCUAGGAUGAUUGGCUUUGGUAAAGCUCAUUCUAACAAAGAAGGAUUAGGGUAUGAAGGUGAGUCCUGCAAGCCCUUGACCUUUGUAAAAAGUCUGGAUUGUGAAAAUUCUUUGGGUCAGUCACAAACUUUAAAUGACAAUGAUUCUGAUACUAAGUUGCCCAGAAGAUCAAAACCAAAUUUAGACUUCCAAACCCAUCAGAGAGUUGCUCAGGUAAGUUCUAACAAGCACACAUGCGUGCAUCAGCCCAGGUAUGUUCACAACUCCAAAAGGUUCAUUCCCACUUGUCAUCACUGUGGUAAAAUAGGGCACAUUCGUCCUAGAUGUAAUUUGCUCCGCAGGGAAUCUCAAAAAUGCAGGAAACAGAAGGAACUCAGCUCUACAGCUUCUUUACAAGCUGAGUUGAAAGAACAUCUGAAGUUGAUAAACAGGAUUGCAGUGCGUAUUGCAAUCCCCAAAGAGCAGAAUUUGAAGCAGAAGCAAAUUUGGAUUAAAAAAGGUUCUAAUAAUUGUCUUUCUGCUCAUAUGGAUAAACUUGAUAACAUGUUUGAACUUGCUUCUGUUCCUAUUAAACACAAAUUGGCUGAUUCGGUUACUAAGUCCUUAGACACAGCUCGAUUUGAAUCUCUUAGAAGCGACAUUGGUGGGUGCUCUAAGUAUUGAUACUCUCACUUUACUUGAUCCAUUCUGCAUGCAUUCAUAUUGUAUGAUCUCAUUGUAGUAUAAGUGCAUUGCUCUUUUUAUUUCUGUAUUUUUUAUUUUUCUGGUUUCUGGAGAAUCAGGAUUGCAUGUGUGGUUUGUAUCCCGAAGUGUCUGACAGAUUCAUUUGAACUUAGAUUGACAAGGUUUCUACUCCCUUCCUUAAAUAUGAGUGUGAUGAGAUGAUUAGCAUGUUUUGAACUUGUUCUUGCAUCACUGUGUAAUCUCGAACAUGAUCAACAUAUUCUCUAUCACUUUGUAUGAUCACAUGCACACAUACUCCUUGUGGUGGUAAGUAAUAUUCUUGGUUGACUUGUUCUUAGUCUACACAUAUGAAGUUGUUAAAAUGUUAUUAUUGCUCCUAGUUAAAAAGGUACAAUAUAUUUGGAGCAUGGCCAGGCUAUUCCCAAAGUAAACAGGUCUUGGUCGUGACGAACGAUAUAAGGAUUGGGAAGAAAAGGGAAUGGUUUGGUCACCCCGGUGGUAUGUAAAACUAUUGACUCGAGUUGAUGUGUCCUUUGGGAUGUCCUUGUUACAUCUAGUACCCUAAAGUCAUCUGACUUGGGAGCUGCUGGCAUAAAACUCAUUACAUGAGUCUUAGUUUUCUUGUGAAAAACUAUAUGUUGUGUGAAAAGGUUAAAAAAAAAAAAAAAAAAAAAUUUAAAAUUGUGCCCACACGGAGAUAUAAGGGGGAAUAUCUAUGUUGUUCAUUUUUUCUCUUCUUAUGUGUGUUCUAAUUUCAAGGAUUCUAAGAAUGUUACACACUCCAUCUUGAGUUAUGUUCACUUACACAACAAAGGUAUAGAAUACUCGAUCAUCUUCCAGCUUACCUUGUGGUUGUCAAAAAUGGUUUACUCAUGUGACCUUAUCUUGUUGCAUUUAUGUUUAUGGUUUUGUGGUCGUACUCUUGUCUGAAAAGCUAUGCAAAUUGAAUCUGUUUUUAACUCUUGGAUACAAACCCACUCAUUGUGUGUUUGCAUUUCAUUCGUGCAUCCUUCAUAACAUGAUCCCAUUUAGGGGGAGUAUUGAUAUUUGGACUAUCUUCCUCUGAUUGUUUCUUCUUGGGUUGGUGUCUCUUGAGCAACAUCUACAGGUAAUUCUUCUUCUACAUUGCUUCCGCUACAUAGUUGCCUUUGUCAUUCCUAGACAAAAAGGGGGAGAAGAUAUUUGUUGACAUUUGGUUUUGUUUUCCUGGUUUAUGUUGCUUAAUUUGGCUAGACUUCUUUAUGGUUUGAACUAGUCGGUUAAAUUGCUACUACAUGACUUAUUGAAUUGCAGUUUUAUGUCUUGAUCAUAGUAUUUGUUUUUCACAAAGUGUGUGAUAAAGAUUUCAGGAACAGAGGAUUCUCUAGUACUACAUGAGGGGGAGUUGAUCUAGAUUAUAGUAGUUUUGUUUAGGAAUGCCAAAGGGGGAGAUUGUUAGUAUAAAAUAUUGUUGGCAUUCCAAAACCUACUAUACCAGCCGUGUGAAGUAUAAGGAAGUGUGAAGUAUAAGGAAUUGUUUCAAAGGAAGUGUGGUGUGGUUGCUUUGCUCUUUCGUACGUGUUGAAGAAUUUGUGGCUUUUUUUAGCAUGCAAGAUUGUUUAAUUGUAUUGUGGAGAAAAUGCUGUCAAAAGAAUAUUGCAGCUUGCUGCAAUGAUCAAAAGGUGAAGAUCGAAUAUUACUGUACACCUCUUCUCCUUCACAUGAUCAUUCCUUCUGUUGAAAACCAAAAAGAAAAGGAAGUUGCAUCUGGGUUUUCAGUUUUUCUAUUUCUCUCCUUCGUGGAGAACAUGCUAUGAAAGAGAAAAGGAAGAACAUGAGAACAUGCUAUGAAAGAGAAAAGGAAGAACAUGACAACGUGGUUUUCCAUUUCUUCUUAUGGAAACAUUGCUGUCAAAGAAGAAAGUAGGAAGCAACUACAUCUGGUUGCCAGCCAUCUCGUCUUGCCCACUCAAUGCAAUAUCCCCUUGAGAUGGAUCCGGUGCCUUGGUGAUUUGUUAGUAUUAACAUAUUGGCAAGGAGAGGAAAUAUCCAAUUGAGAUGGAUCCGGGUGAGGAAGAAAAUCUUGGAGAGGUAAUUAAUAUCCCCUUGAGAUGGAUCCGAGUGAAGAAGAAAUGUGAAAGCAACCAUAUCUUUUCCUUGCUAUCCACUCAGUGUAAUCAUGAAGACCUUGCUGUCUAAAAUGAUAGUGGGAAGCAAGCAACUGGUGAUCAUUCAUACAUGAACUUAAAGACCAAGUAUGAUAGUUUGUUUAAUUGCAAGUAUGAUAGUUUGUUUAAUUGCUGUCGAAGACAGGUGGCCUUGUUCAUCUUCAUGUAAACCUUGCUGUCAAAGAUCAAAGUGGGAGACAAUUGCAGCAGGGUUUACCAUUUUAGUUGGUUAUCUUGCCGAAACACAAGGCCCUACUCCAACCAAGCUUCUAGCAACUUUGACAGAAUGGAAUUCCUUCUUCCUCCUAUAUAUACAUGGGUAUUCUGUUUGUUCUAUGUAUUGAAAUCGUAUUGAGUUUCAAUCCCUUGAUUGUAAAAGAGUCAGACUCUUUGUUGCUCUGUUUUGUGCCAUGUUGAAAACAGUUUGUGAGUCUGUCCAGUAAGGAUUGCAGCAGUCAUUGCAAUCCCACAGUUAAAUGUGUAGUCUGUCCAGUAAGGAUUGCAGCAGUCAGUGCAAUCCCAGAUUGUAAGUUAGUCAGUUCAGGAGGGAUUGCCGCGGUCAGUGCAAUACCUGAGUUGUAACUUUGUAAUCUGUUUUGAUUAGUGAAUCAUUGGGUUCUCAAGAGUUAGAGCCCCGCAGUGUUUUUGAUCUCAAUUGAGGUUUUCACUGCGUGACCAAGUUG
This is an RNA transcript of Rosa rugosa (rugosa rose), 6583 nucleotides long. RefSeq lists it as uncharacterized. The transcript is spliced from 2 exons. The record is from RefSeq and is a predicted model, not a curated record. Lineage: Eukaryota; Viridiplantae; Streptophyta; Magnoliopsida; Rosales; Rosaceae.